AGAGUUUGAUCCUGGCUCAGAUUGAACGCUGGCGGCAUGCCUUACACAUGCAAGUCGAACGGCAGCACGGGAGCAAUCCUGGUGGCGAGUGGCGAACGGGUGAGUAAUACAUCGGAACGUGCCCAUUAGUGGGGGAUAACCCGGCGAAAGCCGGACUAAUACCGCAUACGACCUACGGGUGAAAGCGGGGGAUCGCAAGACCUCGCGCUAUUGGAGCGGCCGAUGGCAGAUUAGCUUGUUGGUGGGGUAAAAGCCUACCAAGGCGACGAUCUGUAGCUGGUCUGAGAGGACGACCAGCCACACUGGGACUGAGACACGGCCCAGACUCCUACGGGAGGCAGCAGUGGGGAAUUUUGGACAAUGGGCGCAAGCCUGAUCCAGCCAUGCCGCGUGCGGGAAGAAGGCCUUCGGGUUGUAAACCGCUUUUGUCAGGGAAGAAACGCUCUGGGCUAAUACCCCGGGGUAAUGACGGUACCUGGAGAAUAAGCACCGGCUAACUACGUGCCAGCAGCCGCGGUAAUACGUAGGGUGCAAGCGUUAAUCGGAAUUACUGGGCGUAAAGCGUGCGCAGGCGCUUUGCAAGACAGAUGUGAAAUCCCCGGGCUCAACCUGGGAACUGCAUUUGUGACUGCAUGGCUAGAGUGCGGCAGAGGGGGAUGGAAUUCCGCGUAGCAGUGAAAUGCGUAGAUAUGCGGAGGAACACCGAUGGCGAAGGCAAUCCCUGGGCCUGCACUGACGCUCAUGCACGAAAGCGUGGGGAGCAAACAGGAUUAGAUACCCUAGUAGUCC
This 789-nucleotide ribosomal RNA is filed under the name uncultured bacterium. RNAcentral's name for it is "bacterial SSU rRNA". It matches the Rfam family "Bacterial small subunit ribosomal RNA", at positions 8 to 796 of the family's 1533-position model. The record is from RNAcentral.